GGUGUUCUUGUCCAGCAUACAGUUGCAGCUCUUCAAUUGUGGAUCAACCACAAUUCAUCUGUUGAGGUGUUGGAUGAGUUUUGGAAGAAAAGGGUGAGGGUUUUGAUUUGAGACAAGAG
Zingiber officinale is the source of this 119-nucleotide long non-coding RNA. RefSeq lists it as uncharacterized. Lineage: Eukaryota; Viridiplantae; Streptophyta; Magnoliopsida; Zingiberales; Zingiberaceae. The record is from RefSeq and is a predicted model, not a curated record. The transcript has 3 exons.